GCGGUGGCUCAUGCCUAUAAUCCUAGCACUUUGGGAGGCCAAGACGGGUGGAUCACGAGGUCAGGAGAUGGAGAUCAUCCUGGGCUCACCCCUGUAAUCUCAGCAAUUUGGGAGGCCGAGGAGGGUGGAUCACUUGAGGUCAGGAGUUCGAGACCAGCCUGGCCAACAUGAUGAAACCUCGUCUCUACUAAAAAUACAAAAAUU
This 204-nucleotide long non-coding RNA is filed under the name Pan troglodytes (chimpanzee). RNAcentral's name for it is "long non-coding RNA NONPTRT001779". The record is from RNAcentral. Lineage: Eukaryota; Metazoa; Chordata; Mammalia; Primates; Hominidae.